AUUAAAGUCCUUAGUUGGUUUCAUUUGGACUUCACCUCCAGCCACAGCAUCGGUAAAGAGGAGGACUGGGAGAAAGUCUAGAGACGAUCAGGCUAUAGGGCUUGGUGACCAACUGGAGGACGAAGGAAGAAGAGGGGAUUGAGGAGGAUCACCCACCCCCCAACACUGCCACCAAGGGGUUAAUAACUGUUCUCCAGAAAGCUAGCUUUAUCUCUGGAAACUAGUUAUUAAGUGCUGGCAGAGUUGACAUACCUUAUUCGCUUCUUGAGAAAUGUGAGUGUUGUUGACUUUUUGUGGUGCCUUAACUGGGAAAGAAAGCUGAUUGAUUGUAUUUUUCUCCCUUUAAAAAGUUGCCCUUCUUUAUGAACUCAGAUGACAGGAGCUGCAGCUGUGACUGCCGGUUGAGCGAUGGAUGGCAGGAAGACCUUGGCCUGAAGACCCUUCCUCCCCACAAGCCUGCUCCUGGGCCUGCAGAGCUCCUGUCUAGGUGACAUCUUUCUGGAAUCAGGCAGUUGGAUAUAUCCUACUAGCCAGGAGUUGAGAGGAGAGGUCCGGGCUUGGAAAGAAAUCUGGGCGUCAUCUUCAGCAUACAAAUGAUACCUGAAUCCCAGACACUAGGUGAGACCACUGGGGGCGGGGGUGGGUUGGGGUGACUGAAGAUUUACAGAGAAGAGAUGAGAA
RNAcentral lists this long non-coding RNA (681 nucleotides) under Mustela putorius furo (domestic ferret). RNAcentral's name for it is "lncRNA (ENSMPUG00000028850.1)". Lineage: Eukaryota; Metazoa; Chordata; Mammalia; Carnivora; Mustelidae. The record is from RNAcentral.